GAGAAUGGAUAUCCUAUCACUGGGUUGGGGAUGAUUUGAGGAGUAGGAGUGAUUUGAAAUUACUACCAUAUAGGAUUAUCAUGGUGCAACAAAAUAUAGUGAUUUCAUCACCUCCAUUCACAUCUUCCUUGAUUUGAGUAGAUCACCCCAUACCAAACGCCACUUAGAAGUGUAUGUUGGUAUUGCACUCUAAUUAAUGUACCAUCUACUUC
This 212-nucleotide long non-coding RNA is filed under the name Elaeis guineensis (African oil palm). Its description in RNAcentral is "long non-coding RNA (EGUI_LNC035198)". The record is from RNAcentral. Lineage: Eukaryota; Viridiplantae; Streptophyta; Magnoliopsida; Arecales; Arecaceae.